RNAcentral lists this non-coding RNA (87 nucleotides) under Metapseudomonas resinovorans NBRC 106553. The record is from RNAcentral. Lineage: Bacteria; Pseudomonadati; Pseudomonadota; Gammaproteobacteria; Pseudomonadales; Pseudomonadaceae.
UGUCAUGGCAGCUGUGCGCGGGACACCUUCGGGUGUGCCGGGUGCCUAGAGUCCCGGUCGGCCAACCCGCGUGCAGCUGUCACCCAA